Long non-coding RNA from Helianthus annuus (common sunflower), 1186 nucleotides. RefSeq lists it as uncharacterized. The record is from RefSeq and is a predicted model, not a curated record. Lineage: Eukaryota; Viridiplantae; Streptophyta; Magnoliopsida; Asterales; Asteraceae. The transcript has 6 exons.
AAUGGCAACUGUGAAACCUUUUUGGACCCACAGGUUAAAAAUGAAACCUUUGGACUAAACUGGCAAAAUGGCCCAAACCACAGGGACUAAAAUGGCAUUUAACUCUUUGUAAAAAGAAACAUAUCAAGGUUCAAGCAUUUUUAUAAAGUAAAUACAAAUGUAUAUUUAUGUUAACAACACUUCUAUAACCUUCAUUUGCGCGUGUGAGGUGACCUCGGUGUUCCAUCAUUCAACCUUCAACUCUUCACGGAACUACCAAAAGAAGCUUUGCAAAACAGAUUGUGACCGAUGAUUCCAGUAGGAAUUGCUAGAAACGCAUUUAAACUUUAUUGCUCGUUGCGUUGUAAUUUCCUUUCAAUCCUGUUGUAUUCUGUUUCCAAUACUUGUAAUAAUUAAUUAUCAAUGAAAUGAAAUUUAAUUAUUUGAAUACUUAUUGUGCAUUAUUUAUUUUAAUCUUGUGGUAUUCUAGUUCAAACCAUGUAAAAUGUAAUUAUUAAACACUUGACCCAAAAUAGUGUUAUGAAGUCUCUUGCAAUCUACACACUUCGUCUCAUCCCGAUGUUUCCGCCAUCGGUUGGGUGUGACAUAGAGGUUGUGUAGAGGACGACCAUGAUGACAGUUAGCAUUCUGACCAAGUCAAACCAGAAUCAGACCACCAUGAAGGAUGAUUACCCGGAUUCUACUGUAGUUGUAGAAUUGAUUUUGAAAGAAGAUGAGGUGGGAAGAUUGUAGUCGUUGGUUGAAAAGACUUCUUUUGGAACCAAAGGAUUGUGUAUCAUCUUCUACACCCCCAAAAGACUUGGUUUCUGAGGUUAAUGGUGCAGUUUGUGCAAAUGAAAUUGAGACCAGUGAAUACUCUGAUUGACAGGUGCUGACUAAAACAGGCUUCUAUUUGUUUGAUUAUCUCAAAAGGCUUCUUAAUAAUCAGAGACGAGGCAGAUCAGAUUCGAUCAACAAUAGAAAUGGAUGACAUUGAAUCAAACAACUACGUGCAAAAUAAAAAGGUCAAAUUACACAUACAAGGUGCAUAUUACAGGGCAAGAGGUAGCGAAGGCUGUGUUUUGGUUUUGUUAUGUUGUAAUUCUAUACUCUAAAUUUGAAUGUAGAUUAUGAAAGAUGAAGUUUGAAUGGUAUUAGUACUUCACAUUUCAUUCAUUUUGAUUGAAAAAAAAAUCUAAUUUUGUGA